UUUGUUUUUAGUGGUUUCCCUCUGCACUCAUGUACAAAUCAGGUUAUUCUAAAGCAGUGGAUCUCAACCUGGGUCCACAGGUGUUUUUGGCCUUCAACUCCUAGAAAUCCUAACAGCUGGUAAACUGGCGGGGAUUUCUGGGAGCUAUAGGCCAAAAGCAUCUUGGGACCCCAGGUUGAGAACUACUGUUCUAAAGCUUGCUAGCAAAUCAGGUUAGGAACUGAAUCUGACUCAAUCAAACCUGAUGGACACAUACAAUACUAGGUAACAAUAGGAAAUGUGACCUUGUUCUUUCAUCCCCUUCAUAUUUGGGUGGAGUUCCUUGAGGAGAAAUAUAUCAACGUGUGACUGGCUAUGUCUGGAAGACUGAUACCAAAAGAAGGCAUCUGAAAACUGCUACUCCAUACCAUUGCCUGCAUUUUGAAAUAUUUUGUAUCUACAUGGGUGAGCUCCAUUUAAAAUUAUAAAUGGGUCAUAGUCAGUGUGCUGAAGACACCCAAUUCUUCAAGUUGGCAUACUGGGGUUCCUUGUGGGCUUUGCAUGCUUCUAGCCAGAUACCAGUUGUGAUGCUGAAGAUGAAGUACCUUUCCCCUUUACCAGGUUCACCUGAUGUGGAAGCUUCAUCCAUUUCUUGAAUAAAUCAGACCAAGCAUAUCUUUGCCACAUCCAAAUUAGGCUACACAUUUGAGGAUGCCUUUGAAAUUAUUGGGAAAUAUGGUCAAAACGCAUCUGCCAGAUUGGUGAGUGGAUUUUAUAAGGUAUCAUUCUCUUAUGUGAGAUGUAAGAAGAGUUCUGCUGGAAUAGGCAAAAGGUCUAACAGAUGCAUCUUCCAACAUAUACUGCUUAGUAACUGGGAAUAACAUAAUCAUAUGUCAUCAUUAGAAGCUACCGAUAGCUUUAUACUCUGUGAUAUUUUUCCCAAUUUAAUGGUUGUGGCAGUUUUGACUUUUAAAACUCUCAACACGUCCAGGAACGGCCUCCUCCAUACAAAUAAAACUAGUGAGCUCAUUCUUUGCACUGUACAACAUGCUAUUCUAUCAUUGCAAGUGCUAGAUUUUUAAAAUUAUCAUCAUCAUCAUCAUUUUUUAUCUGCAGUUGAUUGAAUCCACAUAAUUGGAGUCUGUGGAUACAGAAGACUCACUGCACAUUUUAAAAGUAAAUAUACAAUAAACAGUGUCACUGGUAUGGAAUGUA
Molecule: long non-coding RNA, 1194 nt
Organism: Anolis carolinensis (green anole)
Lineage: Eukaryota; Metazoa; Chordata; Lepidosauria; Squamata; Anolidae
Exons: 2
Source: RefSeq, a predicted model, not a curated record